RNAcentral lists this long non-coding RNA (587 nucleotides) under Mus musculus (house mouse). Its description in RNAcentral is "predicted gene, 41335". The record is from RNAcentral. Lineage: Eukaryota; Metazoa; Chordata; Mammalia; Rodentia; Muridae.
AUCUGAUGCAGAUGGAUUCCUGGCCUGCUGAGUGAACUAAUUAAUAGUUGAUAAGUUUUGUCAUGGAUAAAAUAAUUUCUGCCACUGGAGUUCAGCAUCCUUCAUCAGAGUGUCUAGGGGAUACCAUGAUGCUUGCCCUUCUGGUUAAUCAAGAACACUAUAUCCACAAGGAGGGUUAAGAACGAUCAGGAUGGUGGAAAAGGGUAUGUGCAUGUGACUACAGGGACCUAAGAAAGCCACAAGUAGAAGUUCAUUCGUGAUGCAGCUGGAGUUACAGGCUGAUGUGAAGCUCCCAUGAUUGGUACUGGAGCCAAACUAUGUUCCUCUGGAAGACAAUAUGUAUUCUUAACCACUGAGCCACCUGCAGUUCCUGGAAGCUAAACUCCAUACAUGGAAUUUACAGGGCUCCGGGGACUGAGUUUUAUUACACGAUGUCCCAGUAGAGAAGAGGAAGAGGGAAGAAAAUCAAUGAGUCUUCUAAGAACAAAGCCUAUUCUCUGCAUGGACGAUACCAAAAUCAGCAACAUGGGCAAUCAGUCCUCUGAGACAUUACCUGAUAGUACUGUAAUGCGGGGAUUACCAAAAAA